RNAcentral lists this long non-coding RNA (6750 nucleotides) under Musa acuminata (dwarf banana). RNAcentral describes it as "long non-coding RNA (MACU_LNC001783)". Lineage: Eukaryota; Viridiplantae; Streptophyta; Magnoliopsida; Zingiberales; Musaceae. The record is from RNAcentral.
CCUGUCAAGUAGGAGGGUAGUGCCGCCGUAGAAGACACUUUUGAGUGUGGCUUGAUAGAGGUACCAGUUGCGGUCCGCAGCAGGCCCACGGCGACGUUCACUGGGCUGAUGCUUCACCCGAACCAUUCGUACAGGUGCAAAGAUUGGAAUAAAGCUGCAACCAGAGACUAGUCAGAAUGGAGGAAGGGAUCGGGAAAUGAGAGCAUUUGGAAUCAAAUCGUGACUUGUAGGCACGAACCUGGGCGUUGGGAGGGGUAGACGGCGGAGACGAAGGGCAUGAGGGCAGCGCGUCCGAGAACUUGGCAACGAAGAUGUGGGCCUGGGCCUUGGUGGAUUCGACCAUUGAAGGCACGGCCGCAGCACGCGGGAUUCAUUGCAGCCUCUGCGGACGAUUCUGCACGUGUUGCGACUCAUCUCCUCCGACGAUCUCUCGGCCACCGCUGCUCCGAUCCUCCUCCUCAAAGGUUAAAAAUUUAUCCUCUCUCUACAAUUUAGUUCAGUUUUCCUCUCCUUAUUGAAGUCAUAGAAGAAAUUUAGGUUUUCUUUUUCUCUUUUUUGUUUCGGAGACUUGAGCGACAAGAAAUCAAUGAAAGGUGAGUCCCGAGAGGAGCAAAGGAAAGGGCGAAGAGGCGGUGCGAUCACCAUAGAGUUAAACUAAGGGUCGCCGGGGAGGUUGGGUGAUUGUCUGUGUGGGCGUGUGCGGUCACACUCCACCACAGAGUUAAGCUAAGGAUCGCGGAUAGAGAGAGCGAGUUAUUUGGAGGUGUGGUCUUGAGGCUCUUCUUGAUCUAAAUCUAUCAACUGAUCGUUCAUGAACAGUUCCUAGGGGAAGCACACCCACCAUUUUGUAUUUAAACGGGAAGCUUCAUCAUUUAGAGUUGAGAUUGACCAAUUCCAGAUGAUGGAUAUCAUGAAAGAUCAGUUUCUGUGAAAGAUUGCUUAACCCACAUUUUUUGAACUAUUCAUAAUGGAUUGAAGGCAGGAUAUGGAUCACCAAACUAAAUCCUGAUUAUAUAGUUGUGGGAGUAAAUUGCUGGACAAUUCCCUGUCAGGGAAUUGGCUUGUUGAGGAUCAGUUCGAGUAAUUCAACCUGAUGAACUUAGACACUCCUUCCCUCACCAUUAGACAAAGGAUCAAUAUCUCUUUCAAAUAAAGUUUUUAGAAAGACUAUUCACACUGUUCUCUCUGCUAUAUUUCUCAUGAAGAUAUGAUAUGCAGAAGAAGAAACUGAUUCUGGCUCUUGAAUUCAAAAUGCUCGGCAAUUUUAGCCUCGAUGUUCUCUUUCAAUCUAAUUUUAACAUAUCCACAAGGAAAAAGAUACAUGUAAAAGGAACAAAGUACAAACUUCUACAACCAUCAACUUAAUCGCAUCAGAGUUGAUCAAACUCGAUUCUGUACUCUGAUGAGAGCCCUUUCCCUAGCUUUGAUCUGUGUGAAAUUCUGUACAAUGAUGCCUUCCUUUAAGGUUCUUUUUUUCUUUUUUACAGACAUGAGCCUGCAAAUUGGAAAUUUCCUUCUCUUCACCCUCCUUGCUCAUCUUUUCCGAUGGACAAAUUACCAUUUUCCUUGUCACCUGAUUGUCUUCAUAUAGAAUGACUGAGAAGUGAUCUUCUUGCAUUAGUACUGUGAUGAUGAACUAUCAUCAUCAUCAUCUGACUGCACAACUCGUCGCUGUUCAUACCUUUGGAGAACUGGUAGAGAUGCAUUGACAGAUAUGCGAAAGGAUCUAGCUGAACCCAUCGAUGUCCUCUCCUGCAAUCUGCCCACUUCCUUGCAUACAUUAUCUAGUACAGAUAGGAAGUCCCUCACCACCAUGAAGAUCCUAAGAGGGUGAGCUUCCUCCUUUGCUGCAUCUCCAUGAAAGUACUCUGUAGUUUCCUUUACUAUAUUCAUCACCCUCUUCUCCUCAGCCUUGACAUGAUCAAUCUUCCUUUCAGCCUCUUCAAGAAACACCUUCAUCGUGUCAAAAAAUUUCAUACCUUGCGUGCAUGACUUCUCUAGCUGUAAAACUGAUUUUAUCUUCUGAAGCCCAACGUCUAGCCUCAAGACAUAACUGCUAAGAACAUCUGAGUCCAUUCCUGCUGCCUUUCUGAUGUUCCCAAGCUCAUUACUCAGCCCAGCCACCACUUUUAAACCUUGUUUCUUAAAUUGUUCUUCCCUGCUACUGUUAGUAGGAUUGUGUACUGUCAAUGGUUCAGUACCUGUUCCUUCUGAACGGAUAAUCUCUUGCACGACGAAGUGGAGUAGGGUUGUUUUUCCAUCAGUUCCCUUUACAUCUGUCAGUUUUAGAAGAGUGUCGAGCUUGAAGGCUUUCGCUUGACCUAGGUUGGUGCCCACAUUCAUCCUGUUUCCAGUCCUCAGAACAGCUUCCAGGAGCUUAAGGAAUAGUCUACUGCUUGUUAAAUCUUCACAUGCUGCCUGUAGAACAUUUGAAGGAGGCAAUGACCAUUAGGUAUGCUUAUGAAAGUAGAAUAAUAUUUUUUUCAAUUUACCAAAGUAUGUUCAGUAAAUCUAAUGUCAGGUAUGGUUGUUCAAAUGCGCCGAAUUAUUGAAAAUAGAGUUUAGAAGAAACAAGAAACAUCAUAAUUUGGAAUCAGGCAUUCGCCAUUCUUUGAUGGUCAAUGUUAUAAGUCAAAGGAUAAGUAUGGAAUUAGUGAUGCAUGUUUGACUAUUAAAAAAUAGGAAAAAUUAUAAUUAUUUAGCACAGAAAGAGUUUUUCAAGAUAAUAUAUUAUAAUAGAAUAUUUUCAAGGUUUGUUUCAUGUAGCACUAAUUUGAAGACAUUUGCCUGUAUUUCAAGAUGAAGCAUCAAUACAAUAAAUUUACCUCUAGAGUUCCAAAAGAUUUGAUUAGAUAUUUGACUUCUGUCUCAAAAUUAGCUCUGUAAAGCAUUGCAUCAACUCUUUUAAAGGCAAAUGGUACGUCUAGCACUGCUUUCAGAAAGCGCUCAGCUGAACCUAGCUUUGAUAUGUCACCCAUGUAAUCAUGCAGUCUUAGUUCUUCCUCCUUGGUGGGAGCCAUCUUGAUUAAAGUUUCCAAAAGCUCAGCUCCUAAGCAUUCAGGAUUACCUGUUGCAGACAACUUUGGUCAUCCAACAAUAUUUAAGUCAACAAUAAUACAUAGGAUUUAUCACAUUGGUACUCAUCAUCAACUAUGUUUUUUCCCAUCAAAGUUGGUAGAUGCAGCAUUUCUAAGUUAUAAGGCUCCAUGAUUUUCAGAAACAUUUGAUCAUCCGUUUAUCUAAUGUCAAAACUUAAAGUGGCUUCUGUGAUAUUUCAACAAGCAAACCUAUACAGGCAACAGCUGAUGAAAACAAGGAUACAUGACCAUUGAUCUGAUGAUAACACUCGAAGUAUCUUUUAUGUGAUAUCUAAACAAGUUAACAUAUACAUGACACAAUUUAUGGAACCUGGGGAUGUGGUGUACUGUAUGAUGUUGAUCACAGUUUCACAUAUAUCUCCUUGUAUUCUUAAGAUGAUGACAUAAUUCUUCUAGAUCUUCGUAGUUUUUUUAUUCCAUUUCUAAAUUUUAAAACCACAACAUAGUUCAUCAUCAUCUGGACAGAUACAUGAAACUGUUCUGCAUAAGUUUAUUUGUAUUAUCAAAGUAGUUAACUAUUACUUAGUUAUGGUGGUCUUCAUUGUUUAAAGAUGUAAUGAGUUAAUUCAAAGCGGCUUCAAUUAACUGCUUUAAUGUUUGUGGUGGACAAUGGCCAACCACGUAGACAGUAGUACUUCGUCGGUUGGGCUCUCCUUAGAUAUGAUUUCGUUCGAGUUUUUUAAAGCAGUAACUACUUAGAUAUGUUUAAACUUAGAUCUGGUCUGAUUGUCACUUAACAAAGCUACCGGUGCUUAUGUCUAAAUUAACAUCAAAGAUUAAAUUGCACAGCAUUCCCUCAUUUUAGAUGCUGUUGAUUCCACAACCUUGCCAAGGAUGUUAACAUUUAUCGGGAACUAACUUCUAACCAUAUCAUCUCAACUACUAAACAUGAGAAGAAAGGUGGUCGAUGCAUUGGAACCACAGAAAUGGUCACCAACUCGAUAAUUCUUGUUAAAUGUCAUCCACAGAGAUGAUCCUUGAAUGAAAUAUUGUGAUAUUCCCAACAUUAGACUUGGAAAAGGACGAGAUUGUUCUAUACAUGCUUGUGGACCUAUUUGCAACACUGAGGUUGUCACCUUUCUUUUGUCGUAGGCUCUUACUAAGUUUAGAAUAAUUUCAGAGGGUUAUCAUGUAGUUGUUCAAGCUAUAUUACAAUUGAUGAAUUAGGUCAAAGCUCUUCUAGCCUAUAUUUAGAGCACAACUUGAGCACUGAUACUGAAUUGAUUGUUAAAUACUUUGAGAUUUUUUUCACACAACCUUUAAUAUUUUGAAUUGCAGUCAUAGUUGCCUGAACUGAUGGGGGAAAUCUUGCAUGAUGAUCAGGAUUCCACAAAAGGGUGAUCGAUCAGCUAAUCAUGUUCCCUUCAACAUAUCUGAACAGAAUAAACAGUAAGUCGUAGAUCAAAAAUCUCUCCUGGAAUUAAAUUUAUGUUGAAUUUCUUUUAUAAACAAGCAAAGAUUGUUUGGUCACUGCCCUAAUACUCCGUUCCUCUUUUCUUUGCUGUCUAAUUUUCUCUCUUGAAUAUUUUACUUUGUCUUUCAUUCUUCCUAUUUUCUGAUCUUUGCAGAUUUCAAUUAGUCCAAUGCUAAGAAGCCUUCAGCCACAUGUGGUCAACUCAGUUCCUUCAUUUAACCACAAGGUAAAUGAACAUAGUUAACAGCCUAUUAGCUUCACGGACAAUAGUUAAAUGAACUUAGUUAACAGAGUAAAUCAUAUGAACUUUCCAUUGUUUUGAUCAUAGAAUAGAGGAACCUGCUAUAAAUUUGGUAGAUUUCCUUGAGCAACAAGUUGAUUUUGGUUGCAUUACAGUAGGCCCAGGUUCCAUAUGACUGAGGAUUACGAUGGAAGUCAUAGAGUAAUUAUCAUCUAAACUGGGUGCAGAAUAUAGAACCCUUACCAUCUAAUAAAGCGUCGUGGACCUCCUCUCUUGUCACGUUCAAUGCCCUCAAGAGUAUUGCUAUGUUCUGCGACUUCUUGGGAUCCAGCACUCUCUUCUCCUCAUCUAAUGGCAGGACACGCUGUCGUCUGCUUGUUGCUUUGGGAAGAGAACUUGAGGUGAUGUUGACAAAUAGAGUCUCGAUUAUGUCCUCGUUCAUCCUGCCAAGUGAAGACGAAGAGAUUAAUGCUCGGUCAUGGUAUUGAAAGACUUGAAACAUACAGGGAGUGGGAAGAAAUCUUUAGGUGAAAUCUCACUGAAAUGAGCUUGAUUUCAUCUGGUCCCAGACCAUUGCUCGAUUGGAAUUCGCACUAACUUUGUCCCAGUGAAGAGGCUUCAACUUGGGCUUCGAGUCACCCUCCAAUUCCUCCACCAUCUCGUGUACUUGAUGCGAAGAACUGGCGGCAAUGCCAACGCCGCGCUUCGUCGGAGGAAGUGGUAUGUUGAUUCGUGUUGCUUCAGGAGGAAGUGGAUUUAGCAACCUACGCCUUGAAGAUGCCGCAACUGGAGUCGCCGGAGCUUUAAUUGGCUGUUCAAUGCUUCCCAUGGUUUCAGUAGAUGGUGGUGGCUGCGGCGGCGAUGGAGGUGGAGGUUGUUGGUCCAUUGGGAGGAUCAUCUGUUUGACCGCAAAGCGGGGUGCAGUGUCUGCCGCGGCCACGGCCAACAAUUGCUGCUCUCCGCUGUUAAUACUUGGGGGGCUCCUACGGGAGGCCGGGCUACUCGGGCUCUCGCUGGUGGCGGACACCACCGACCGCUGCGGAGUGUAAAAGGUGUCCUCAUCGGAUAACGUCAUUGGCGGAGGGACCAUUCCCCUCAGCGAAGCUGUGGAACUCAGCGGCGGCAACGGCUGGAGCUCGGGGCUCGGGUGAUGCAUUUCCAGCACCCGCUCCGUCGCGAUGUUUCCGUAAGAGGAUCCGUUCUGCCGCCCGCCAGAUACCGCCGACGUAUCCAUGAUGCCAAGGUAGAGGAAAUCCGGCGCCGCGGAAGCGGGCUUUCGGUCCACCCACCGGUCGCCGCUGCCGUCGGGGCCGACAAGCUUUCCGGCUUCGGGCGAGCUCCGAAACUUUAGCCGGUACAACAGGAACCCCAACAAGAACAGGACCACGAGGGCGGGGACGGAAGCGGAGAAGGCGAUGACGAAGACCUUAUUGGACGCGGAGGAGGAGGCCGCAACGGCGGGCGUCGAGGGGACACCGGGGAAGAAGCUGCUUGACUCGUCCGGAGGUGGGUCAACGAACUCCUGAGGGGGCGGUGGUGGGGUCCACUGGAUGGGGUACAGCGGCUGGUGGAGGACCCUGCGGCCGCCGGCGCGGUCGUCCGAGGCGGAGGCGGAGGCGACGGCGGAGCAGAGGAGGAGGGCGAGGACCACCAGUAGCAUCUUCGCGACGAGGACCCGUUUCGCUUCGGGGAUUAAGAGCGACAACGGUGGAAGCUUCUAAAAAUGGCCGCGGGGAUUACUAGUAUAUAUUUGUUAUUAUCCUAAUAUCGUUUUCCUUCCUGUGGUCAAAUAAGAGGGGCGAGCCGAGCUGUUCGUCCGCGCCGUCCGACCGUGGCUCGUCAAUCCUUUCGUCUGGCAGCACGUGGCGCAAGCAUGCGGUCUUCUGCUGUCAGCUUCACCCGACACGCCGAUCCGCUGUAUCAUCGCCCACGCGAAACAAGCGAACAUAGAAUCCCUGGGGACCCGCGCACGUCCUGCCGUUUCCCAUGUGCAGCGC